Molecule: non-coding RNA, 372 nt
Organism: Microcebus murinus (gray mouse lemur)
Lineage: Eukaryota; Metazoa; Chordata; Mammalia; Primates; Cheirogaleidae
Source: RefSeq, a predicted model, not a curated record
ACCAAGUUUUGAAAGUGUGGAGCCAGAAUCAAGUCCAGGCUCCUUUUCUAGAUUUUGUGAUGUCUGUUAUUUGUCAGUUGUUAAAAAUUUCUAAUUUGGUACCAAUUUGAUGGAUAACCCCCCACAAAGUUACAAGUUUCAGUCUUCUGGAUCUGCUUUGCAGUUCUCAGAUCCAUAUGCCGUCUUCCAGAUACACUUGCCUGACCUCCCUGCUUCAUCCCAUGGCCACAAACGACAAGCUGGGAGUCUCCAGAUUCCAAAUUCCAAGGCAUUGUAAUCAUUGUUUUUUAUUUGAAGCCACAUCCAUCUAUUCCAUUAUUCCACCGUACGGUCAGUAUGACACAAGUGAUGUUUGUCUCCAGGAUUAUAAUU